AUACUUACCUGGCAGGGGAGAUACCAUGAUCACGAAGGUGGUUUUCCCAGGGCGAGGCUUAACCAUUGCAUUCCGGAUGCUGACCCCUGCGAUUUUCCCAAAUGUGGAAAAACUGACUGCAUAAUUUGUGGUAGUGGGCGACUGCAUUCAUGCUUUCCCCUG
This is a small nuclear RNA of Callithrix jacchus (white-tufted-ear marmoset), 162 nucleotides long. Its record names the gene U1. It matches the Rfam family "U1 spliceosomal RNA". Rfam says of the family: U1 is a small nuclear RNA (snRNA) component of the spliceosome (involved in pre-mRNA splicing). Its 5' end forms complementary base pairs with the 5' splice junction, thus defining the 5' donor site of an intron. There are significant differences in sequence and secondary structure between metazoan and yeast U1 snRNAs, the latter being much longer (568 nucleotides as compared to 164 nucleotides in human). NCBI's taxonomy places the organism in Eukaryota, Metazoa, Chordata, Mammalia, Primates, Cebidae. The record is from Ensembl.